RNAcentral lists this transfer RNA (67 nucleotides) under Acanthopleura loochooana. Its description in RNAcentral is "tRNA-Leu". It matches the Rfam family "tRNA". From Rfam's summary of the family: Transfer RNA (tRNA) molecules are approximately 80 nucleotides in length. Their secondary structure includes four short double-helical elements and three loops (D, anti-codon, and T loops). The record is from RNAcentral. Lineage: Eukaryota; Metazoa; Mollusca; Polyplacophora; Chitonida; Chitonidae.
GUCAAAUUAGCAAAGUUAGUGCAAAUAGUUUAGAACUAUUAUAUGAAGGUUAAAUCCAUCAUUUGAU